UUACCAUUACUAUUAUUCUUAUCGUAGAGGAAAGAAAAAGAAAAAAAAAACGAGAAUAAGAUGAAAUGACGUUUUCGCACGCAUACGCGGUAUAUUCAAUAGAUAUAUUAAUAUAUUCGUAUAUAUACUGUUCGCAUAUAUAUACACAUAUAUAUAUAUAUAUAACUAUACGUAAUUUUUCCGCGCGUACCUCUAUAUACGCAUAUGCGUGUACAUUAUAUAUGUAUACGUAUAUACAGAAUUGAUCAUUUGACAUCUCUAUACAUUUUUUUUCUUCCCCCUCUUUCUCUCUCUCACUCUUCUUGUAAUUUUUUUUUUCCCUUAUUUAUGUAUUGUCACGUACAUACCUAGGGUGAGAAUACGAAUUCUGUUUUGGUUACGAUGGGAGAAAAUAAUCCGAGGAACAUAAUAUAACAUGUUUCGUUUAAACCGGAAGUGACGAGUAAAUGAUGAAGAAGAGUAUGAAUAUAAUAAAUGGAAAAAAUAAAAAAUAAUCUACAGUGCCGAAUUUUUUGUCGUACGUCAUUAUUCAAGACGUGUAAAAUUAAGUACAGACGACGUUCAUGUAAGUGCGUCAAAUGAUAAAAGGACACUCAACGUGAUGAUUCGCACUGUGCUUUUGAUGUAUCAAGUGUGUGAAGUAUGAAAAAUAAAAAAAAAAAAAAAAAUAAAAACUAUGCAAAUGAAAGGAUUAUUGAUUGAAUAUAGCAACAAUAUUUAAAGAAAUAAAAAUAUCUGUAACGGACUACAUACAUAUAUAUAUAUAUAUGCAUACAUAUAUACCUAUAUGUAUAUAUACUUGAUCUUGUUCGACGAAAGUUCUUCUACGGGAAAACUCACGUUCGUCCUACAGUCGUCGUUGUUGUGUGGUGGCGAAUCGGCGCACUUUUGAAACUCAUCAAGUGUUACAGAGAAAGUGAAUUUAAACGAUUGAACAAAUAUGAAUGAAAAUGAUAUGAAAUAAAAAUAAUCUAUUACAUGUGAUAAUCAUGGAAAACGCGCAUAUUUGUACAGCCUCCACAUCAUUCAUCGAUAUCAUCUUACUCUAUACAUAUAAAUAAAUAAAUACAAAUGAAUAUAAAUAUAUAUAUAUAUACAUAUAUGUAUAUAUAUAUAUUAUAAAUAUGCUACAAUAUUAAUUAAUUAAUUAUUAACUUUAGAGGAAGUAAUCGAUACUAUCGUUACUAUUAUUAUUAUUAUUAUUCGUAUUAUUAUUGUCGUCGGAUUGUAAACAAUAAUAACAACAACGCUAACAACAACAACAACAACAACAACAAAUCGCAACUGUGCAAGCAUACAGUCGAUUAUAUAUAUUAACUACAUAGUUGAGUAAUAUAGUGUUUAAUAUUGAUGAUAAUGUUUGUAAAAAUAACGACGGCAAUGAUGAUGUUGAUUAUAAUAAUGAUAAUGGUAAAAUAAAUGAAUAAUGAUUAUUAUGAUAAUGGUAGUUGUAAUCGUAAUUGAAAAGUAUCAUCCCGUAUGUUUAUGACUUGCGUGUGCGUGUGUGCGUGUGUAUGGGGAAAAAGUCGAAAGAUCGAUGAACAGCAGAAAGGGAGAAAAAGCUCAGACGUGCGCGGGGCAGGUUUUGAGAAAUCUAUACAUUCGUUAUGUAUGUAAUGAUAAAGAUAAUGAUAAUGAUAAUGAUAAUGAUAAUAAAGUGAUGAUGAUAAUAGACGUUAUACACGUGACUGAAGUGUUUGUAUAUUUUCGCGUCAACAUAUAAUCGAAACGCGAAUUACAAGAAAGCGAAACAGAAGUAAGAUAAAAAAAUUACACACGGUAUACAAUUUAUAUGUAUAUAUAUAAGAGUGUGCGGAGUAGGACAAAUUCGGAGUAAAGUUUAGGGGUAAAAGGUAUAAUCGAUGAAUAGAAAAUACUGGUAAGUUUAGAGACAAGAUGGUAAAGGUAAAGAGAGAAAAAGGAAAGAAGAAAAAAGAAAAAGGUAACGGUGAAAGUUACGAGAGUGUGAUAAAUAACAAAGUUUCUAAGUAAAAUUUUGAUUGCCGAAAAAGAGGAAAGAGAAAAGAUGAUUGUAUACCUUGUUGACGAUUAAUGGGAGCGGUGGAAGUAGAUGUGGAGAGUUGAAGUCACUUGAGAGUUUGUCACGAGAUUCUGACAAACUUACAACUUUGCAAUUGUCGUAACUUUUAUGCCACGUUUACGAGUUUCGUGUCCUGUGUCGAUUUAGAAAUUAAUUACCAGCGAAAAAAGAUGAAAGAAAUCAGGGCGACGAAACAGAAAUAGGAAGGAAAUUUAACGAAAAUAUUCAACGCGAUUAUUUACGUCAAGAAGCAGGUAUUUCUAUGAAAAAUUCACUUGGCGUGUGUACGAAAUUUUUAAUACAUUUGAAACAUAUGGUAUGUAACGCGAUGUAUUCUGUGAAAAAUUGACGAAGAAAAGAGAGGGUUUAAAAAAAAAAAGGAAAACUUCCGAAGAAUCGACGCGAGAUCAAUGAAGAUAUUUUUUGAAAAACAAGUGAGAAAUUUUCGUGUAAUAUUGUAUUAUAGGUAGUAAUAUCGAAUAUAAUAUAUCCGGGAAAAGAGAGAAAAUAGAAUAGACUCGUAAUAAUAUUGAUAAUUAUAUUAAGAGAUGAUUACAUACAUAUAUAUUAUAUAUAUAUAGUAAACGUGCGUACAGUAAAAAGAAAUCAAUGAUCGUUGUACAUAGUAGAUUAUUAAGGCCCUCAAUCAACCCCCCUCUGUAGUUCUUGCAGAAAGAGUGAAGGAAGAAGUGCGGUGAAGAAAAGAGGUAAUAAUUUGAAAAAAAAAAAAAAAAGAUUGUACUAAACGAUAGGGAAAACGUACAGCGUUUUUGAAAAUCGUUAACUAAUAGUUAACACGUGUCGUUGUUGAGACGCCCGCUCCCCUUUUCAUCCACCCAGCAUGCAUUGAAUAUCACGAAAAAAGGAAAAGAAGGGAAAAGUUAAUCUAUAGAAAAGCACCAAUAAUCAAGCAAAAACACAAUCAAUUUUAUCCAUCCUAGCGAAGAAUGAACUCUUCAAUAAAUUCACGAACCCAGCCCCCUCCCCUCCAUCGUCAUCCUUGUAAUCAAAUUAUGCACUAAUCAUUGUACACAUACUCACAUACAUGAAUACACAUAUAUAUAUAUAAUACAUGUACAUAGUAGAUUUUCAUUUAAAAAAAGUAAGAAAAAAGUUUAAAAAAGAAAAAAAAAGAAAGAAAGAAAGAAACAAAAAAAAAAAACAUAAAAACAACAAGAAUCGUCAUUAUUCCCGUGUCUUUUGGAACUUGCAUCAUUCAUGAUUCCAUAUUGAUGAUUAUAACUUAUAUGUCGCAUAUUGCGAUUGACGAUGUUGGAUUACUCUUGUGUAUAAUCAUUGCGUGUAUUAUAGAUAGUAAAAGAUCUUACUGGAAUAAAAAAAAAAAAAUAAAAUAAAAUAAAAAAAAAAGUAAUCGUGAAAAUUGCAUCGGUAAUUGGUCGUUGUAGAGAUACACCAUCGUUUUAUCCAAAGGGGCACAAUUUCCACUCCCCCCCCCCCUCCCUUGUCAGUUCUGCAAAGUCUAUGUAUAGCGUUCUACAUAUAGUAUAAUAUGUAAUGCGCAUAUGUAAACUAUAUUAUACACAUAUUAAUGAUUAUUAUAUAAUAAUGAGUGGUGAUGAUGAUGAUGAUGAUGAUACGUGAACUAAUUAUGGAAUAUUAUACGUACAUUAUUUGUUUAUCCGUGCGGUGAUGAGAUGGAAAAACAGUGCAUAACGAAAUAGGAAGGGAAAGAUCAGUUGAACGUUUGUCUUGUUCGAUUUUUUAUUAUUUCUGUUUCGAUUUCUUUUUCUAAGUAAUAUAAUUUAUUAAUUAUUCCUUCUUCUUCGUGAUAAUAUUAACGAAAGGAAAGAACAACCAGUAAGAUACCUGUUAUUGUUAUGUUGUUAUUAUUAUUAUUAUUAUUGUAAUAUAGAACUGAAAUAUUGUCCCGCCCCCGCAUUUCCCCAGUGAGCAGCAGCACUUCAUAUUUUGUACGCUUGGGAGUUGUGAGGUCGUCUGAAUAAACAUUGUCUGGUGAAUUAUAAAUAUAAUACGUCUGUCUCAUUUUUUUCUACGAAUAUUACUUACGCCUAUACAUAUAUGUACAUAUAUAUACAGUGUAGCGUCACUUCUUUGUACGAUAAAACCAAUUUUCCCGUUGUCUCCUAUUCCAUCUCAUCGUUAUUAUAAUACUAUCGAUAAGCGUUGGAAUAAGUGUAAAAUGGAAUUGAAACCAAAGGAGAACUAACAGAAAGAAGAUGAGGAAUAAGCGUGUAAGAAUGUCCGAGGAAAUCUGAUUAUACGGUAAGUGUGAAACGUUAUAGGUAUUUCAAUUUCGAAAACGUUGGAUUAAACUCUAAUUCCAACGGACGACAUCCGCGUCGUGUUUUGUUUACACGGCGCCCUUCAGAGUAGUUCAGUCUGUUAUAAGAUGGCGUCGAGUGCGGAACGAAUAUGCCGGUGCGGGGUGAGCGUCUCGAUUGUUCGUUGUUAUUGAGUAAAUACGUGGAACGUCUCGCGUCGUGCGACGGUUCGACGAACGAUAAGCUUGUGAAUUCAAUAACGCUGCAGCGGUCGCGAGUGAGUCAGGUUAUUUCAAUUUGCAAAUCGGGACGCGGCGGUGAUGAUGAGGAAGAUGACGAUCGUCGUUCUGACUCACGGCCAACUUCGCAUCAGUGCCGCGGCGUCGUCUCAUGCCCUCGGAAUUUUUAUGCCACAGGCCUCGGUCAAAUUUUCAGCUUCAAUAAUUCUCCUUCGAUCUCUAACCUCAACAACUUCCGGUUAAGCCGUUAUCGCCUUCCUCGCGUCGCGUCGAUUCGAGUUAACCGAGGUCAGGCAUCCGCCGAUAUGCUAACGAGCCUGCAGUCUGACCGUUGUGAAAACGCGUUUUGUACGGAGUUUAAAGUGUUAUCGGUGUGCCUGGACUUCGUCGGGGAUGCCGAGACAGCAUGUGGGAAAACACUGGACUUGGGUGAACCAAGGCGAUGACUGGUGCUGAUGCAGUGCGAGAAGACGGUGCGGAAUGAAAACCGAUCGAUCAUCAUCGUUGUUUCAGGACCCAGACAAGAGGAUGAUAAUCCUUGGACCUGAAGACUUUAGUGACAAACCAUCCUCCAGGUCUGAGAAAUUGUGUGGCAACUUUAAGAGCCGACAGAGUCAAGCAGGUUUGCUGAUAGGCAUCGUGCAGCCAAUUUUUACCAACAUUUGGGGCUCCGUCGUUGAGAACAACGUCAGCCUUCCACGUUUUCAACUCUCGGGAGAUGGCGACACGACAUUUGUCCGUUGUAAUGUCUUCGGUAAUGCUGAUACAGCCGGGUAUCGGUUUUAUCGGAAAUAGAUCUAUGCCGAUGACGAUUGACGACACGGGCAUGUUCUGCCGGGCGACUUGCAUCCAACCACCAGGAGCAGCGCAGAGAUCUAUGCAUACUCUAGACUUUUGCAAGAAUUCGAAUUUACGAUUGAGUUGGAUCAACUUGAACGCCGCACGAGAUCUGAAACCUGGGUUAUGGAGCACGAGAGGUUAUGUUAAUCGCUAACGUGCGCUGGUGCUGGACGCUUGCGACAGCCGACGAUACUCUGCGAUGGGGUCUUGUGAGUUUCGAAUGAGCGUAACUUGCCAACACAUGAUAUAUCAAAGCGCGG
RNAcentral lists this long non-coding RNA (5623 nucleotides) under Neodiprion pinetum (white pine sawfly). RNAcentral's name for it is "uncharacterized LOC124217718, transcript variant X2". Lineage: Eukaryota; Metazoa; Arthropoda; Insecta; Hymenoptera; Diprionidae. The record is from RNAcentral.